GGCUGUGGCCCAGGGCAGCACAUUUUUAGGGGCAUAAAAUAAGUCUAUGUCCCAAAAAAAUUAGCCCAUGUCUUUGUUAUAUGAUAGAAUAAUACGUGAGGAGGAGCAGGGAAAUGAAAACUUAGCGCCAAACAACCACUAAUCGUCUUCAAUUUCCCAUAGAAAAUCGAAACGUCUUCCGACACUUGGAAACAUGUUGUCGAUUGGAUGCCUAGAAGUUGCGUCUCUGAUAAAUAAAAGUAAGAUGUGGCAUCUGUAUUUUUCGCUUUCAGUCAAUUUCUCUGAUAUUUGGUUUCUAAAUACUCCAAUUUCUAUAGUUUUCAAGUUCUAGUUUGUGAUUUCUGAUAUUUCUAAUCUGGUUAAAAGAUCUCGGUUCAAGCCUUCUAGGUCCGAGAUAUUGUGAUUCUGAUACAACGAUUCUAAUUUGGGUGGGUUGAAUUUCUCUUAUUCCGACUUCUCAUUCUAAUUUCUGAUGUGAUUUAUGUUUAGGGUUUUUGUUAUUUGUUUCGGAAAUCAGAUUGUUUUUUGUGGUUGUUCAUGUUUUACUAGACUCGAUUUCUUCUCUCUUUGAGUUCGAAAUCUACUUAUUUAGGUUUGUUUCAAAAAUCUGCUUGAUUUCUUCUCUUUUUUAUUACAAAAAAAAUCAAAGUCUUUUAAAGACCUAUUUGGAUUUUGGUAUCUGAUUUCACCUCUGUUUGAGCUAUUAUUCCUCCUCUCUUUGGCUCGAAAUUUUUAGCUUUGUAUAUGAUUUUUGUGGUUUGCUUCAGUAAAGUGCAAUGCUAUUGCUAGCUAGUAAUUAAAAGUGCAUUGUUAUUGUUUGGUAAUACAGGAAAGUGCAAUGGUAUGGCUGGAUCAAUCUCGAAAGUACAUUGAUGUGGCUAGCUUAUUUUCAAAAGCUGAAUGUUGCUAUUUUCAUUAUUAAUUUAAUAAUUUUUGGUGAUGUAACUUGUAGUAGUUAUUACUUUAAUUUUACCCAUAUUAUUUUCCAGCCACAAUUGGCUUUUUUGUUAUUUAAUUUAGCUUUGUACUUUAAAAAAAUGUUCUCCUAAAAGCUGUUUUAUUUUUAUUAUUUAUUAUUUUGAUUAUUAUUUGCUUUUUAAGAGGAAUAGUUAGGGGUUGUUUGAUAUGCUCAUGGUAGAUUCUAAAUGGCCUUGAUAUCUCUCAAAUAUGAUAUGGGGUUUAUUUUUUUGCCCAAGCUGGUAUGUUUUUUGAUCGCUUCAAUGAAAGUUUGAAGUUAAGUAUGAUUUGGAUGUUUUUAUAGCCUUUGUUUAUGGUCUCGUAAGUGUUGCAGUAGCUUCAAAAUUCUGUUGUUGUUGCACAUUUGGUGCAAAGUACAUGUCUUUAGAUGUUAGCCCCAUAAAGUUCAUUGUCUUUUUCUAAACAAAUUUUGAUUGACCUCUACUACGAGUUUUUUAGUUUUAGUUGCUUUUUUGUUGUCUAUUUUAACGAUUGCGUGUACAUAUUGUUUUUGGUUGUAUUUUUACAAAUAUUUGAAUACAAAUAUAUAUUGAACUUCUGUUUUAUACAUGUUAGCUAUGUAUGUAUUUGGUGUAUUGUAUGGUACAAGCAUGGGGGCAUUAUGAUUUUCAUCUCGCCCGGGGCAUAGAAAACCAAUGGACCGGCCCUGGUGAAUGCAAUACAGAGCAUGAUUGUUGACGGCGCCUUCUUCCCCAAAUCCUUAUAGGGCAUUUGAUUCGUCAUAUUACCCUCGAUCUUCUGCUCUCAAUUCUCAAGUAACUCUCUCUCACUCUCUCACGUCGUCUGACCACUACCAUCAGAACUAACAAAUGGUAGCGUUAUACCGCACCACCAUAAGGUAAAAUUCGUCUGCUUUUGUGUGUGAUCCGAAAGUAGGAACUAAUCGAGUUAAUUUCAUAACUACACUCCUUGAUACCUCAUUUGAAGCAUUUCAAAAUGUGUAAUAUAAAUCGUCAUAAAUUGGUUGUGAAGAAUAUCCAUUUAUGUGUUCUUUGAUACAAAGAUGGUUGAUUUGACCUUGUAUUAUGAUUAUUUCAUGGUUAGAUUAGCUACAGGAACAAGAAAAUUCCAACAAUUGAUUCUUUCUCCCAUGGUAAUAUGUGGUAUUGCAAGUUAGUUGUUAGGAAUGACUUAAUCUUUGUUGCUCAAUUGGAAACAUAAGAAUCCUUAGUAAUUUUGUUUAACUAUGAGUUUUUAGGGAAACUUAACUUUUUACUAAUUUUGAUUUUUCUAAAUUGAAGAAUACUCAUCAUCUGGGUCGACUACAUGUUGGUGGGGCUUGGGCAAGGUAUCUCUAUCAAUUGAACUGAAAGAUAAACUAUAACCAAAACCAAAAUGAAGUUGAAUUUAAGAAUUUGUUGGAUUUUGGGAGUUCUUUUUCAUGUAGGUAUUUGUAGAAAUUCAAAUUUGUGCAAUACAUUAAACGCAUUGUAGUUGUAAAGGCUAAUGAAAUUUCAAAAUCAUGAAGGAAAAUCGGAUGAAACACCUUCCUAACACAGAAUUCCCAGCUACAACUUUAAAAGAUGUGUCUAGCUGUGUUAAUUCGACUGAAAUUGUUGAGAAAUAUAUAUUGAUUGUUGCAGUUUUAAAUCUUUUCAUUUUACAAACCAAUGAAUCUUUGUUUUAUUUUUAUUGUAGAUGAACUUAGAUACUUCCUUUCAUGCAUUUUUGGAUCUGGUGGCUGAUAAGGUAUGUUUUUUUAUCUUCCAGUUUCAAGAAAUAGAUUAAUAAUUGAUCUUCUAUCUUUUAUAUAUAGUACAAAUUGUUUAAUUAUUCAUGCUUGCAGCUUAUGGUUGCUAUUGUUAUGUAUAAGACCUCCAGAGGCUGCUAUUUUUGGGCACUACCAUGGCUUUUCACUGUACUAUCAAUUAAAAUUAUUGGUAGAGAGGUAAAAUGACCAUUCAUGCUUUGAAAGUGUUUGAAAUUGAAAAAAAUGUUCCAAAAAAUACAAUCAGCAAAUAACAUACUUAAUGUGUACAAGAAAUUGAAAAAAAAAACUUUGUUUUGUUUUUUUUUCCCAUCGAUGAUGCUUUCAAAACUCUAUCAAACUUUAUUAGGUUGUGCUUAUGAAGAGAUAUCACUAGUAAAUGCCUUUCUUACACAUCUCACUAAGGAAAAAAAUAUGUUGUUAAGUUGUUUUUUGAUUUUCAUAAAAUAUAAAGUUUUUGAUAGUUAAUAGCAAUGUAUAUGGGAAUCAAAUAAUAAAGUAAAGAACGCAAUUUACCGAAUUACCCCUGAUUUAUAUGUAAAAGAAUUUGAUCAUAAGCAUAUUGAUUUGUAUAUAUUUGAUAUGUAUGUGCUAAUAUUUGUAAUAGAAAUAUAUUAUUAACUUAAUAUUAAUAGGUAAAAACUAUAAUAAUAUAUAUUAACAAAGAGAAAGGGGUUUCAUUUCAUAAGCAGUGAAACAUGGUCUAUACUAAUAUUUUUAUUCCAAUGAAAUCAACUACUUUAUUCCUUAACUAAUUUUAUUAUAACCAAUACUUUAAGGGAUGUUUAAAUCUUAAUAAAUUCAACUUUAUUUGGUAUGUACCUUUGUCAAAUAAUUUGGAAUUUAAAUAGUAAGAAGUAUUGGUUUCUAUUCUUUUAAAUGAGUUUUGCAAUAUUGCAUUGAAAGACAGAGAUAUCUUAGAAGGAUAAAAGUAUCAAAAUCUGGUGAUUUAUUGGUUUUGGCGGCAUAGCAAGGCUAUUAUCACUGUUGAAGAGGUUUGGAUUUCUUCCUUUCUUACACCUGCAAUAUUUUUUUUAUUCUUUUCUAGCUUUUUUUUUAACAUUGUAGAUGUUUCGAUAGAUUAAAAUGGAAAUGGAAAAAGCUAAUGUAUUCUUUUAUGCAGAUUAUAAGAAAACUCUUGACUUUUCACUAGCCGAUGGACAAACAUAAAAUAAUUGUUGGGACAGGAUGGAUAUGCUUUUAAUGUUAUGUGUUAUGUUCUUAUCUAAAACGCAUUUUACUUUCUUCGAUCAUGUUCCAUUUUUUUAUAAUAAAAUUAUGUUGUAUGCUUUUGCUAUAUAAUUCACAUCUAACCUAUGCAAAGUAUGGGUACCUACACUAGUUAAAAUAAAAAAUGAAACUAAAACAUGAUACAAAAACAAGACUAACAAGGAUUUUUUUUUUCUUAAUGUUCACCUUCAACAUUAAAAUCAUUUGAAGCUUCUCUCUUAAAAGGUGGUUGGUGCUUUGUAUAAAAACUUCCAUUGAUAUAUUUUUUUCAUUCAUCCACCUUUGGCUUUUCCUAGGGUGCCUUUUGCUUAUCUUCCCAUGUUUUUCUUGUUUUUUUUAGGUAAUUUGUCUUUCUCAAAUGCGAAUGGUUCACUUUAAUUAAAGUUGUAUUGCUUAUUGAUGCCAUNAUCGGGAAUCGUACUUCUCGGGAUCUUCGGGGCCUCGGGACUUGCUUUGGGGCUCGNNNNNNNNNNNNNNNNNNNNNNNNNNNNNNNNNNNNNNNNNNNNNNNNNNNNNNNNNNNNNNNNNNNNNNNNNNNNNNNNNNNNNNNNNNNNNNNNNNNNAUAUUUGAAUACAAAUAUAUAUUGAACUUCUGUUUUAUACAUGUUAGCUAUGUAUGUAUUUGGUGUAUUGUAUGGUACAAGCAUGGGGGCAUUAUGAUUUUCAUCUCGCCCGGGGCAUAGAAAACCAAUGGACCGGCCCUGGUGAAUGCAAUACAGAGCAUGAUUGUUGACGGCGCCUUCUUCCCCAAAUCCUUAUAGGGCAUUUGAUUCGUCAUAUUACCCUCGAUCUUCUGCUCUCAAUUCUCAAGUAACUCUCUCUCACUCUCUCACGUCGUCUGACCACUACCAUCAGAACUAACAAAUGGUAGCGUUAUACCGCACCACCAUAAGGUAAAAUUCGUCUGCUUUUGUGUGUGAUCCGAAAGUAGGAACUAAUCGAGUUAAUUUCAUAACUAC
This 4875-nucleotide long non-coding RNA is filed under the name Lactuca sativa (garden lettuce). RNAcentral describes it as "long non-coding RNA (LSAT_LNC009179)". The record is from RNAcentral. Lineage: Eukaryota; Viridiplantae; Streptophyta; Magnoliopsida; Asterales; Asteraceae.